Molecule: long non-coding RNA, 845 nt
Filed under: Oryza sativa (Asian cultivated rice)
Lineage: Eukaryota; Viridiplantae; Streptophyta; Magnoliopsida; Poales; Poaceae
Description: long non-coding RNA (OSAT_LNC001379)
Source: RNAcentral
GCUCCGCCCUGCGCGCCGACGCCGCCACAGGGAGGUGGUGGAGGCUACAACCCACCCUCGCCGUCCAUUGGAACCUCUCCGACAACGCCGGGAGGAGGUGGAGGCUACACGCCGACGCCGAGCGACACGCCACCCUCUCCGUCCAGUGACACCUCGCCGAGCACUCCGGGUGGCGGCUGCUCGUCCUCACCCACGCCGUGCGACGCACCGCCCUCACCGUCCAGUGACACGUCCCCGACAACGCCGGGGGGAGGUGGAGGCUACUCGCCGACACCGAGUGACACUCCGCCCUCGCCGUCCAGUGACACCUCUCCGACAACGCCGGGUGGAGGUGGAGGCUACACGCCGACGCCGAGCGACGCGCCGCCCUCGCCUUCUAGUGACACCUCUCCGACAACGCCAGGUGGAGGUGGAGGCUACACGCCGACGCCGAGCGACGCGCCGCCUUCGCCGUCCAGUGACACCUCUCCGACAACGCCGGGUGGAGGUGGAGGCUACACGCCGACGCCGAGCGACACGCCGCCCUCGCCGUCCAGUGGCAGCUCCCCGACAACGCCGGGUGGAGGUGGAGGCUACACGCCGACACCGAGCGACACGCCGCCCUCGCCGUCCAGUGGCAGCUCUCGCACUACACCGGGUGGAUGCUCCACUCCCACGCCGUGCGGCACGCCGCCCGCGCCGUCGAGUGGCACCUCUCCGACCACACCGGGUGGAAGCUACUACCCGCCCACGCCGUCCAUUGGCGACGUGCCACCCUCGCCGUCCAGCGACACCUCUCCGACCACACCGGGCGGAGGCUCCCCGUCCACGCCAUGCGACACGCCGCCCUCGCCGUCCAGUGGCAC